AGAAAAGCUGUGAAAAAUUGGGAGAAAAUUGGUUAAAAUUUGAAGAGAAAAUUUGGGGCGAAAAUUUGGGGAGAAAAUUUGGAGAAAAUCGGUGAAGAAUUGGGAGUAAAUUGGUGAAAAUUUGUGGUGAAAAUUUGUGGAAAAAAUUGGGAGAAAAUCGGUGAAAAUUGUGGGAGAAAAUCGGUGAAAAUUGGGGGAUUUGGGCACACCUGGGCACACCUGGGCACACCUGAGGUAGAUAGGAACACACCUGGGCACACCUGGGCACACCUAGAGGGGGAAAAAUGAUGAAAAUUGGGAGAAAAUUGGUGAAAAUUUGGGGGAAAAUCGGUGAAAAUUGGGGGAUUUGGGCACACCUGGGCACACCUGGGCACACCUGGGCACACCUGUCCCGUCUCACCUGCAGCAGGUCUGGUCUGGGCCAAGGUGGGUCCCGUGGGCGCCGUCGUCGCCUUCGCCGUCGUCAUCGCCCUCGUUUGUUACCUGAGCCAGAGCCGCCGCAAGAAGGCGUCGGGAAGCCCCGAGGUGACCCCGGUGACCCCGGCGGGGGGGCGGGACCCGGAGCCACGCCCACUGCAGGUAAAGGGGGCAGGGCUACGGAGGGGGCGGGGCUAAGGGGGGGAGGAGACCAUUGGGGAACUCUGGGGGGUCCUGGAUGGGAUUUUGGGGGAAUUUUUGGACAUUUGGGGACAUUUUGGGACAUUUUUGGGCGGGCAUUUGGGGGUGUGGUCCCAUGCAAGAUUGUGGGCGUGGCCAGCUGUGACCCCGCCCCUCCCAUCCAGGUGCGCUGGCUCCGGCGUUGGGCGCUGGGGGUGGGGGAGGGGCCUGGGUCGGCCCCGCCCCCCGAGGCCGCCCCGCCCCCCCCCAAACCCGCCCGGGGCCCCCCCGAGGAGCCCCCGGAGUACGCGGAGAUCCGCGUCAAGUGACCACGCCCACCGGACACGCCCACCGCCAAUGGACACGCCCACUUCGCAAGGACACGCCCACCCCUGGACAUGCCUAUCCCACCUGGACACGCCCACCACACCUGGACACGCCCAUCACAAUUGGACACGCCCACCAAGCCUGGACACGCCCAAUUGGGCACACCUGGACACGCCCACCUGGACUCGCCCACUGCAACUAAACCACGCCCACCUCACCUGGACACACCCACUGUGCCUGAGCCACGCCUAUAAGACCUGGGAUCACCUGGACACGCCCAUAAAUUGUGGGCACGCCCACCUGAACCACGCCCACCACACCUGGACCCCACCCACUGCACCUGGACUGUGGCAAAAGCCACCUUGAGACCACGCCCACCUCACCCGGGCACGCCCACCUGGGCUUGUUCUGGCCACGCCCAUCUCCUGGACACGCCCCCUUUUUAACUUGGCCACACCCACAUGUUUUAUCUGGGCUGUGACCACACCCACUCAAUGGGCACGCCCAUUUCCCUUCUAUGACCAUGCCCACCAUGAUGUGGCCACGCCUCCACAAACAUCACCUUGGCCACGCCCACCUCUACCUGGCCACGCCCAUCUCAUUAUCCUUGUGAUCACGCCCACCCUCACACGGCCACGCCCCUUUCUCGGCCAGACCACACCCACCCGCUUUUGGCUACGCCCACCUCCCCCUCUCCUGGCCACGCCCACUUCCUGGCCACGCCCAUUUCCCUCCCCAACCACACCCCUUGGCCACACCCACCCGGUCCUCCCAGACAGGCCCCGCCCCCUUUCAUUAAUUAUUUAUUGCCCCUCAUUAAUGAAUUCAUUAACCUGUGACCUUUGACCCCCAAUAAAACCGGAAGUGCCCGAAGGGGCUGCUGGGAG
This is a long non-coding RNA of Junco hyemalis (dark-eyed junco), 1811 nucleotides long. The record is from Ensembl. Lineage: Eukaryota; Metazoa; Chordata; Aves; Passeriformes; Passerellidae.